AAUCCAUAGGUUAAUGAGGCGAACCGGGGGAACUGAAACAUCUAAGUACCCCGAGGAAAAGAAAUCAACCGAGAUUCCCCCAGUAGCGGCGAGCGAACGGGGAGGAGCCCAGAGCCUGAAUCAGCAUGUGUGUUAGUGGAAGCGUCUGGAAAGGCGCGCGAUACAGGGUGACAGCCCCGUACACAAAAGCGCAUGUGCUGUGAGCUCGAUGAGUAGGGCGGGACACGUGGUAUCCUGUCUGAAUAUGGGGGGACCAUCCUCCAAGGCUAAAUACUCCUGACUGACCGAUAGUGAACCAGUACCGUGAGGGAAAGGCGAAAAGA
RNAcentral lists this ribosomal RNA (323 nucleotides) under Salmonella enterica. RNAcentral's name for it is "partial 23S ribosomal RNA". It matches the Rfam family "Bacterial large subunit ribosomal RNA", at positions 161 to 522 of the family's 2925-position model. Lineage: Bacteria; Pseudomonadati; Pseudomonadota; Gammaproteobacteria; Enterobacterales; Enterobacteriaceae. RNAcentral also lists the same sequence under 8 other names. The record is from RNAcentral.